GUAGGUGGCAAGCGUCGUCCGGAAUUAUUGGGCGUAAAGCGCGCGCAGGUGGUUCUUUAAGUCUGAUGUGAAAGCCCCCGGCUCAACCGGGGAGGGUCAUUGGAAACUGGGGAACUUGAGUGCAGGAGAGGAAAGUGGAAUUCCACGUGUAGCGGUGAAAUGCGUAGAUAUGUGGAGGAACACCAGUGGCGAAGGCGACUUUCUGGCCUGUAACUGACACUGAGGCGCGAAAGCGUGGGGAGCAAACAGGGAUUAGAUACCCUGGUAGUCCACGCCGUAAACGAUGAGUGCUAAGUGUUGGGGGGGUUUCCCGCCCCUCAGUGCUGCAGCUAACGCAUUAAGCACUCCGCCUGGGGAUACGGUCGCAAGACUG
RNAcentral lists this ribosomal RNA (373 nucleotides) under uncultured organism. Its description in RNAcentral is "partial 16S ribosomal RNA". It matches the Rfam family "Bacterial small subunit ribosomal RNA", at positions 527 to 896 of the family's 1533-position model. The record is from RNAcentral.